RNAcentral lists this unclassified non-coding RNA (210 nucleotides) under uncultured Cortinariaceae. Its description in RNAcentral is "sequence contains ITS2". Lineage: Eukaryota; Fungi; Basidiomycota; Agaricomycetes; Agaricales; Cortinariaceae. The record is from RNAcentral.
AUAUAUCAACCUCUUCAGCUUUUUGCAUGUUGAGUGUUGGAUGUGGGGGGUAUUUUUUGCUGGCCUCUAUAAAAUCUGAGGUCAGCUCCCCUAAAAUGCAUCAGCGAAACAGUUUGUUUACCGCUCAUUGGUGUGAUAACUAUCUACGCUAUUGACGGUGAACGCAUGUUUAGCUUCUAACAGUCCAUUAACUUGGACAACCUUUUAUUA